RNAcentral lists this ribosomal RNA (500 nucleotides) under uncultured bacterium. RNAcentral's name for it is "partial 16S ribosomal RNA". It matches the Rfam family "Bacterial small subunit ribosomal RNA", at positions 30 to 523 of the family's 1533-position model. The record is from RNAcentral.
AUUGAACGCUGGCGGCAUGCCUUACACAUGCAAGUCGAACGGCAGCACGGGAGCAAUCCUGGUGGCGAGUGGCGAACGGGUGAGUAAAGUAUCGGAACGUGCCCAGUCGUGGGGGAUAACGUAGCGAAAGUUACGCUAAUACCGCAUACGAUCUAUGGAUGAAAGCGGGGGAUCGCAAGACCUCGCGCGAUGGGAGCGGCAGAUAUCAGAUUAGGUAGUUGGUGGGGUAAAGGCUCACCAAGCCGACGAUCUGUAGCUGGUCUGAGAGGACGACCAGCCACACUGGGACUGAGACACGGCCCAGACUCCUACGGGAGGCAGCAGUGGGGAAUUUUGGACAAUGGGCGCAAGCCUGAUCCAGCCAUGCCGCGUGCAGGAUGAAGGCCUUCGGGUUGUAAACUGCUUUUGUACGGAACGAAAAGGUUUGGCUUAAUACGUUGAACUCAUGACGGUACUGUAAGAAUAAGCACCGGCUAACUACGUGCCAGCCGCCGCCGUAA